GUCUAUGGCCAUAUCACUCUGAACGUGUCUGAUCUCGGAAGCUAAGCAGGGUUGGGUCUGGUUAGUACUUGGAUGGGCGAAGUUCCACUGUAGAGA
Molecule: ribosomal RNA, 96 nt
Filed under: Propithecus coquereli (Coquerel's sifaka)
Lineage: Eukaryota; Metazoa; Chordata; Mammalia; Primates; Indriidae
Source: RNAcentral